This 871-nucleotide ribosomal RNA is filed under the name uncultured bacterium. RNAcentral describes it as "bacterial SSU rRNA". It matches the Rfam family "Bacterial small subunit ribosomal RNA", at positions 104 to 968 of the family's 1533-position model. The record is from RNAcentral.
GGGUGAGUAAUGUAUCGGAACGUGCCCAGUCGUGGGGGAUAACUAUCCGAAAGGAUAGCUAAUACCGCAUACGACCUGAGGGUGAAAGCGGGGGACCUGCAAAGGCCUCGCGCGAUUGGAGCGGCCGAUAUCGGAUUAGCUAGUUGGUGGGGUAAAGGCUCACCAAGGCGACGAUCCGUAGCGGGUCUGAGAGGACGACCCGCCACACUGGAACUGAGACACGGUCCAGACUCCUACGGGAGGCAGCAGUGGGGAAUUUUGGACAAUGGGCGCAAGCCUGAUCCAGCCAUUCCGCGUGAGUGAGGAAGGCCUUCGGGUUGUAAAGCUCUUUCAGCGGGAACGAAACGGUCGAUCCUAAUACGGUCGGCUAAUGACGGUACCUGCAGAAGAAGCACCGGCUAACUACGUGCCAGCAGCCGCGGUAAUACGUAGGGUGCGAGCGUUAAUCGGAAUUACUGGGCGUAAAGCGUGCGCAGGCGGUGACAUAAGACAGAUGUGAAAUCCCCGGGCUCAACCUGGGAACUGCGUUUGUGACUGUGUCGCUCGAGUGUAGCAGAGGGGGGUGGAAUUCCACGUGUAGCAGUGAAAUGCGUAGAGAUGUGGAGGAACACCGAUGGCGAAGGCAGCCCCCUGGGUUAACACUGACGCUCAUGCACGAAAGCGUGGGGAGCAAACAGGAUUAGAUACCCUGGUAGUCCACGCCCUAAACGAUGCCAACUAGGUGUUGGGGAAGGAGACUUCCUUAGUGCCGUAGCUAACGCGUGAAGUUGGCCGCCUGGGGAGUACGGUCGCAAGAUUAAAACUCAAAGGAAUUGACGGGGACCCGCACAAGCGGUGGAUGAUGUGGAUUAAUUCGAUGCAACGCGAAAAA